UGGGGUCCUUAGUUACCAGUGCUGGA
This 26-nucleotide non-coding RNA is filed under the name Mus musculus (house mouse). Lineage: Eukaryota; Metazoa; Chordata; Mammalia; Rodentia; Muridae. The record is from RNAcentral.